UACGAAGGGGGCUAGCGUUGUUCGGAAUUACUGGGCGUAAAGCGCGCGCAGGCGGUCUUUCAAGUCAGUGGUGAAAGCCCGGAGCUCAACUCCGGAAAUGCCAUUGAAACUGUAAGACUUGAGGAUGAGAGAGGUGAGUGGAAUUCCCAGUGUAGAGGUGAAAUUCGUAGAUAUUGGGAAGAACACCGGUGGCGAAGGCGGCUCACUGGCUCAUAUCUGACGCUCAGGCGCGAAAGCGUGGGGAGCAAACAGG
This 253-nucleotide ribosomal RNA is filed under the name uncultured bacterium. RNAcentral describes it as "partial 16S ribosomal RNA". It matches the Rfam family "Bacterial small subunit ribosomal RNA", at positions 524 to 776 of the family's 1533-position model. The record is from RNAcentral.